This 253-nucleotide ribosomal RNA is filed under the name uncultured bacterium. Its description in RNAcentral is "partial 16S ribosomal RNA". It matches the Rfam family "Bacterial small subunit ribosomal RNA", at positions 524 to 776 of the family's 1533-position model. The record is from RNAcentral.
UACGUAGGGCGCGAGCGUUGUCCGGAAUCAUUGGGCGUAAAGAGCUCGUAGGCGGUUUGUCGCGUCGGCCGUGAAAACUUGGGGCUUAACCCCAAGCUUGCGGUCGAUACGGGCAGACUUGAGUUCGGCAGGGGAGACUGGAAUUCCUGGUGUAGCGGUGAAAUGCGCAGAUAUCAGGAGGAACACCGGUGGCGAAGGCGGGUCUCUGGGCCGAUACUGACGCUGAGGAGCGAAAGCGUGGGGAGCGAACAGG